Molecule: ribosomal RNA, 253 nt
Filed under: uncultured bacterium
Lineage: Bacteria
Description: partial 16S ribosomal RNA
Rfam family: Bacterial small subunit ribosomal RNA
Source: RNAcentral
UACGGAGGGGGCUAGCGUUGUCCGGAUUUAUUGGGCGUAAAGAGCGUGUAGGCGGCCAGGUAGGUCUGCUGUGAAAACUCGAGGCUCAACCUCGAGACGUCGGCGGAAACCAUCUGGCUAGAGUCCGGAAGAGGAGAGUGGAAUUCCUGGUGUAGCGGUGAAAUGCGCAGAUAUCAGGAAGAACACCCGUGGCGAAGGCGGCUCUCUGGGACGGUACUGACGCUGAGACGCGAAAGCGUGGGGAGCGAACAGG